CCGGUUCUGGUGAGGCAGAAACUUGAGAGGAGCCGUCCUCUCCCUGAAGCCUCGUGGUGGAACAGCUGUCUGACCCGUUCAAAGGGAAGGAUGAAAUCUCUUCACACGCACGCGAUGUGAAUGGAAGAGGCCUGUCACUAUGCGAACAGUACGGCACUCUGAACACAGACUAAAGACAGCUCUCAUCUCAAAGAACCCAGCGCUUGUGUCACAGUAUGAGAAGUUAGAUGCUGGGGAAAAGCAUCUGAUGGACGAAGCCUUCCGGCCAAACAGUGAUUCUUUGGACCCAUUACUUUGCAUUCGCAGUCAGACUGGAUAACCUCCCAUCCUGAGGCUCCCCAAGACUUUGAAGAGUUUUUCAAUGAUCCUUACAGAAAGACACCUUCUCCACAGAAGCAUAGUAUUUAUAUACAGUGCAUUGGAUUGCUAGGAAACACCAGAAGUAUCAGUGAAGAAUAUGUGAAAUGGCUCAAGGGCUACUGUGAAGCAUUUUUCUAUGGCUUGACGGUAAAACUCCUAGAACCAGUUCCUGUCUCUGCAACGAGAUGUUCCUUUAGAAUCAGUGAUAACACACAGAACCUACGGAUUCAUGCAGGGCAGAUCCUGAAGUUCUUAAAAAAGAAGAAACCUGAAGAUGCUUUUUGUGUUGUGGGAAUAACAAUGAUCGAUCUUUACCCAAGAGACUCCUGGAAUUUUGUCUUUGGACAGGCAUCCUUGACAGAUGGUGUGGAGAUAUUCAGCUUUGCCAGGUGCGGCAGUGAUUUUUACAGCUCACACUACAAAGGCAAACUGAAGAAGCUGCAGAAGAAAUCUUCAAGUGACUACUCAGUGUUUGAUAAUUAUUACGUUCCUGAAGUGACUCGUGUUUUGCUGCUUUGGUCCUGUAAGACUUUAACCCAUGAGAUUGGACAUAUCUAUGGACUUCGGCACUGCCAGUGGCUCGCAUGCCUGACGCAAGGCUCCAACCACUUGGAAGAAGCUUACCAGCGUCCCCUCGACCUUUGCCCCAUCUGUUUACGCAGAGUGCUAUCGGCUUCCACCUUAAAGACAGAUACAAAGGGACACGGGUUCCAGCCCUGGCCCGGGAAGAUCCCACAUGCCGCGGAGCAACUAAGCCCGUGCGCCACAACUACUGAGCCUGCACUCUAGAGCCCAUGAGCCACAACUACUGAGCCCAUGAGCCACAACUACUGAAGCCCGCGCACCUAGAGCCUGAGCUCCGCAACAAGAGAAGCCACCGCAAUGAGAAACCCAUCCACAAUGAAGAGUAACCCCUGCUUGCAGCAACUAGAGAAAGCCCACGGGCAGCAAUGAAGACCCAACGCAGCCAAAAAUAAAUUAAAUAAAUAAAUAAUAAAUUUACUUAAAAAAAAAGACAUGCACCAUAAUAUUCAUUGCAGCACUAUUUACAAUAGCCAGACAUGGAAGCAACCUAAGUGUCCAUCAACAGAUGAAUGGAUAAAGAAGAUGUGGCACAUAUAUACAAUGGAAUAUUACUCGGCCAUAAAAGGAAAUGAAAUUGAGUUAUUUGCAGUGAGGUGGAUGGACCUUGAGUCUCUCAUACAGAGUGAAGUAAGUCAGAAAGAGAAAAACAAAUACCAUAUGCUAAUACAUAUAUAUGGAACCUAAAAAAAACUGGUUCUGAAGAACCUAUGGGCAGGACAGGAAUAAAGACACAGAUGUAGAGAAUAGGCUUGAGGACACGGGAAGGGAGAAGGGUAAGCUGGGACGAAGUGAGAGAGUAGCACUGACAUAU
Orcinus orca (killer whale) is the source of this 1756-nucleotide RNA transcript. It is a transcript of the gene named archaemetzincin-2-like, with no coding region annotated. Lineage: Eukaryota; Metazoa; Chordata; Mammalia; Artiodactyla; Delphinidae. The transcript has a single exon. The record is from RefSeq and is a predicted model, not a curated record.